This 205-nucleotide microRNA precursor is filed under the name Oryza glumipatula. Its description in RNAcentral is "MIR812 microRNA precursor family". It matches the Rfam family "MIR812 microRNA precursor family". Lineage: Eukaryota; Viridiplantae; Streptophyta; Magnoliopsida; Poales; Poaceae. The record is from Rfam by way of RNAcentral.
AAUAGAUGACGCCGUUGGCUUAUUCUCACAUGUUUGAUCAUUCGUCUUAUUCAAAAAAUUUACGUAAUUAUAAUUUAUUUUUGUUAUGAGUUGUUUUAUCACUCAUAAUACUUUAAUUGUGAUUUAUAUCUUAUAUAUUUAUAUAAAAUUUUUGAAUAAGACGAAUGGUCAAACAUAUGAGAAAAAGUCAACAGCGUCAUCUAUU